This 164-nucleotide ribosomal RNA is filed under the name Blumea arfakiana. RNAcentral describes it as "5.8S ribosomal RNA". It matches the Rfam family "5.8S ribosomal RNA". Rfam says of the family: 5.8S ribosomal RNA (5.8S rRNA) is a component of the large subunit of the eukaryotic ribosome. It is transcribed by RNA polymerase I as part of the 45S precursor that also contains 18S and 28S rRNA. The record is from RNAcentral. Lineage: Eukaryota; Viridiplantae; Streptophyta; Magnoliopsida; Asterales; Asteraceae.
GAAACGACUCUCGACAACGGAUAUCUUGGCUCACGCAUCGAUGAAGAACGUAGCAAAAUGCGAUACUUGGUGUGAAUUGCAGAAUCCCGUGAACCAUCGAGUUUUUGAACGCAAGUUGCGCCCGAAGCCAUUUGGCCGAGGGCACAUCUGCCUGGGCGUCACGU